This 211-nucleotide unclassified non-coding RNA is filed under the name Rhizophagus irregularis. RNAcentral describes it as "partial internal transcribed spacer 2". The record is from RNAcentral. Lineage: Eukaryota; Fungi; Glomeromycota; Glomeromycetes; Glomerales; Glomeraceae. RNAcentral also lists the same sequence under 1 other name.
UUAAUAAAAAUCGGCGUGUUGCUCUUUUGUGACGCUCCGGAGUUUGGGUCAUCUUAUAACGAUACCUUUCGAGGUUGUUUUAAGAGGCUUAAAAUUGACAUUUUUUUGCGCAUUUUAGACGUACAUAAAUUUUUUUUAUUCGUUUAUUCUAAUGCCAAAAUCUAUUAGAUGCGACCAUAUCGUGUGGUUCCGUGUCUAUAAAUUUUUCAUG